CAACCUAAUGCACUUUGUGAUGUGCUUUUGAAUUGGAGUCGUAUCACAGUGGAUUUGGUUUAU
Molecule: microRNA precursor, 63 nt
Filed under: Capitella teleta
Lineage: Eukaryota; Metazoa; Annelida; Polychaeta; Capitellidae
Description: Cte-Mir-2-o18_pre stem-loop
Source: RNAcentral